AUUGAACGCUGGCGGCAUGCUUUACACAUGCAAGUCGGACGGCAGCACAGAGAAGCUUGCUUCUUGGGUGGCGAGUGGCGAACGGGUGAGUAAUAUAUCGGAACGUACCGAGUAAUGGGGGAUAACUAAUCGAAAGAUUAGCUAAUACCGCAUAUUCUCUGAGGAGGAAAGCAGGGGACCUUCGGGCCUUGCGUUAUUCGAGCGGCCGAUAUCUGAUUAGCUAGUUGGUGGGGUAAACGCCUACCAAGGCGACGAUCAGUAGCGGGUCUGAGAGGAUGAUCCGCCACACUGGGACUGAGACACGGCCCAGACUCCUACGGGAGGCAGCAGUGGGGAAUUUUGGACAAUGGGCGCAAGCCUGAUCCAGCCAUGCCGCGUGUCUGAAGAAGGCCUUCGGGUUGUAAAGGACUUUUGUCAGGGAAGAAAAGGCUGUUGCUAAUACCGACAGCUGAUGACGGUACCUGAAGAAUAAGCACCGGCUAACUACGUG
This 490-nucleotide ribosomal RNA is filed under the name uncultured bacterium. RNAcentral describes it as "partial 16S ribosomal RNA". It matches the Rfam family "Bacterial small subunit ribosomal RNA", at positions 30 to 507 of the family's 1533-position model. The record is from RNAcentral.